Molecule: ribosomal RNA, 428 nt
Filed under: uncultured bacterium
Lineage: Bacteria
Description: bacterial SSU rRNA
Rfam family: Bacterial small subunit ribosomal RNA
Source: RNAcentral
AUUAGGAAUCUUGCGCAAUGGGCGAAAGCCUGACGCAGCGACGCCGCGUGACUGAUGAAGUCUUUCGGGAUGUAAAGGUCUUUUGCAGGGGAAGAAGGAUGUGACGGUACCCUGGGAAUAAGCCCCGGCUAACUACGUGCCAGCAGCCGCGGUAAUACGUAGGGGGCGAGCGUUGUCCGAAUUUACUGGGCGUAAAGCGCGCGUAGGCGGGCUUUUAAGUCAGGGGUGAAAUGCCGAGGCUCAACCUCGGAACUGCCUUUGAAACUGGGAGCCUUGAGGUAUGGAGAGGGAAGUGGAAUUCCUGGUGUAGCGGUGAAAUGCGUAGAUAUCAGGAGGAACACCCGUGGCGAAGGCGGCUUUCUGGCCAUAUCCUGACGCUGAGGUGCGAAAGCUAGGGGAGCGAACGGGAUUAGAAACCCUAGUAGUCC